GACAGAGGGUGCAAACGUUGUUCGGAAUUACUGGGCGUAAAGCGCGCGUAGGUGGUUCGGUAAGUCGGAUGUGAAAUCUCCAGGCUCAACCUGGAGGGGUCAUUCGAUACUGCCGUGACUAGAGUUCGGUAGGGGAGUGUGGAAUUCCUGGUGGAGCGGUGAAAUGCGCAGAUAUCAGGAGGAACACCCGUAGCGAAGGCGGCACUCUGGGCCGAUACUGACACUGAGGAGCGAAAGCGUGGGGAGCGAACAGG
This 254-nucleotide ribosomal RNA is filed under the name uncultured bacterium. RNAcentral's name for it is "partial 16S ribosomal RNA". It matches the Rfam family "Bacterial small subunit ribosomal RNA", at positions 524 to 776 of the family's 1533-position model. The record is from RNAcentral.